UACGUAGGGGGCUAGCGUUGUCCGGAUUUAUUGGGCGUAAAGAGCGUGUAGGCGGUUAGGUAGGUCCGUUGUGAAAACUCGAGGCUCAACCUCGAGACGCCGAUGGAAACCAUCUAACUAGAGUCCGGAAGAGGAGAGUGGAAUUCCUGGUGUAGCGGUGAAAUGCGCAGAUAUCAGGAAGAACACCCGUGGCUAAGGCGGCUCUCUAGUACGGUACUGACGCUGAGACGCGAAAGCGUGGGGAGCGAACAGG
This 253-nucleotide ribosomal RNA is filed under the name uncultured bacterium. RNAcentral's name for it is "partial 16S ribosomal RNA". It matches the Rfam family "Bacterial small subunit ribosomal RNA", at positions 524 to 776 of the family's 1533-position model. The record is from RNAcentral.